CACGGAGGGUGCAAGCGUUGUUCGGAUUUACUGGGCGUAAAGCGCGUGUAGGCGGUAUGUUAGGUCAGAUGUGAAAUCCCCAGGCUCAACCUGGGACGGGCAUUUGAAACCGGCAAACUUGAGUACGGGAGAGGGAAGCGGAAUUCCUAGUGUAGAGGUGAAAUUCGUAGAUAUUAGGGGGAACACCAGUGGCGAAGGCGGCUUCCUGGACCGAUACUGACGCUGAGACGCGAAAGCGUGGGUAGCAAACAGG
RNAcentral lists this ribosomal RNA (253 nucleotides) under uncultured bacterium. Its description in RNAcentral is "partial 16S ribosomal RNA". It matches the Rfam family "Bacterial small subunit ribosomal RNA", at positions 524 to 776 of the family's 1533-position model. The record is from RNAcentral.